This 1450-nucleotide ribosomal RNA is filed under the name uncultured Bordetella sp. RNAcentral's name for it is "partial 16S-23S ribosomal RNA intergenic spacer". It matches the Rfam family "Bacterial small subunit ribosomal RNA". The record is from RNAcentral. Lineage: Bacteria; Pseudomonadati; Pseudomonadota; Betaproteobacteria; Burkholderiales; Alcaligenaceae.
GGUUCGAUUAUGGCUCAGAUUGAACGCUGGCGGGAUGCUUUACACAUGCAAGUCGAACGGCAGCACGGACUUCGGUCUGGUGGCGAGUGGCGAACGGGUGAGUAAUGUAUCGGAACGUGCCUAGUAGUGGGAUAACUACGCGAAAGUUGCGGUAGCUAAUACCGCAUACGCCCUUCGUGGAAAGCGGGGGGACCUUUCGGGCCUCGCACUAUUAGAGCGGCCGAUAUCGGAUUAGCUAGUUGGUGGGGUAACGGCUCACCAAGGCGACGAGAUCCGUAGCUGGUUUGAGAGGACGACCAGCCACACUGGGACUGAGAUAUCAUUCAGACUCCUACGGAGGCAGCAGUGGGGAAUUUUGACAAUGGGGGAAACCCUGAUCCAGCCAUCCCGCGUGUGCGAUGAAGGCCUUCGCUGUAAAGCACUUUUGGCAGGAAGAAACGGCACGGAUAAUACCCGUGCAACUGACGGUACCUGCAGAAUAAGCACCGGCUAACUACGCCAGCAGCCGCGGUAAUACGUAGGGUGCAAGCGUUAAUCGGAAUUACUGGGCGUAAAGGCGCAGGCGGUUCGAAAAAGAAAGAUGUGAAAUCCCAGAGCUUAACUUUGGAACUGCAUUUUUAACUACCGAGCUAGAGUGUGUCAGAGGGUGGUGGAAUUCCAUGUGUAGCAGUGAAAUGCGUAGAUAGCGGAGGAACACUGAUUGCGAAGGCAGCCUCCUGGGAUAACACUGACGCUCAUGCACGAAAGCGUGGGGAGCAAACAGGAUUAGAUACCCUGGUAGUCCACGCCUCUAAACGAUGUCAACUAGCUGGGGCCUUCGGGCUCCGGUAGCGCAGCUAACGCGUGAAGUUGACCGCCUGGGGAGACACGGUCGCAAGAUUAAAACUCGCAAAGGAAUUGACGGGACCGCAUGCCGGUGAUGAUGCGGAUUAACGAUGCGCCCGAAAAAUCCUCUAUCACCUGAUACGUCUGAAUCUAAAAGAUUGGAGCUCGCAAGAGAACCGGAACACAGGAAGUGCAUGCUGUCGUCAUUCGGGGCCGGGAGAUAUGGUUAAGUCCGCAACGAGGCGCAACCCCUGUCAUGAAGCGCACAGUGGCUCAAUUUAACAGACUGUCGGUGACAACCGAGGAAGGCGGUGCGGUAGAUGACGUCGUUCCUGCUGGCCUUAUAGCACACGUCAUACAAUGGUCGGGACAGAGGGUCGCCAACCGCGAGGGGGAGCCAAUCCCGAAACCCGAUCGUAGUCCGGAUCGCAGUCUGCAACUCGACUGCGUGAAGUCGGAAUCGCUAGUAAUCGCGGAUCAGCAUGUCGCGGUGAAUACGUUCCUGGGUCUGUACACACCGCCCGUCACACCAUGGGAGGCCUUACCAGAAGUAGUUAGUCAACCGUAAGGAGAGGGCGAUUACCACGGUAGGAUUCAUGACUGGGGUGAAGUCGUAACAAGGUAA